GAGGAGAGAAGAGGAGAGGACAGGACAGGAGAGGAGAGAACAGAGAGGACAGAGAGGAGUGGAACACGCAGAGGGAGGGAGACCAAACCCCCUCUUUGCUGCUUUGAGACCUUCUGAAUUUCAAGCAGAAAGUAGAAGAAACCACACACAGCAAUAUUCGUCUUUUCUUGGGCUGCGUGUGCAGAGCGUAGACAAUGAAAAUCUCCAUCCCCCUCCCCCAUGCUCUCUAGUCUACAAGAUUUUUGUUUCUUUCCUUCUCAACGAUGGAAGCGAUGUAAAAUCAAAUAUACAGAGAUGCACAUUUAUUUUUUAAAGCACAGACUAACAAACCAAACGAGCUGACUGCGGAUUAUCCAAACGCGCACCUGCUGGGAGCGUUCUGGGGUCUCUGCACAAAACCUGCUUUGAGUUCUUUGGUUUCCUUCGAGUGAGCUGGAGCUCGUCCUUUCCCCUGGCCCAACCAGCUGCAAGGGAUGCUGUGAAAAGAGCCGCUGCCCACCGCCUCCAGCCCGCUGUCCAGGGGGCUCCGCCCAUAGAGGUCAACUCCCCUCACUCUUCCUCUUUCCAGUUCUCCCUCCCUCUGCCCAGACUCGGGUCUUCUCCCGACUUUUGCCGCAGAGAGUGCAUGUAUGCUGCGCUGCCCUUAACCUACGCCCAGAGCGGUCUCUGACCCCAUCUCUGCUCUCCAGGGCCGGAGGAAGCCUAAGCAAGCAGCCUUUUCUUCCCGCAGUAAAACCAUAGCCAGACCAGAUGCGCCCCAGCUCUCCAGGGAUUCGGCAGGUGCUGUUGAGUUAAUGUUUCCGCCAUACAAAGAAGGAUAAACCAGCCUGUCCUGGGAUUCUGAUCUUUUCCCAAAAUUUCCCAACCAAAAUCAGGGUAUCAGAGGCAUAUUCGUGUGUUUGUCGGACAUACAAACACGCAUGUUUAUAUUCGCUUUUAUCUGCUAGAUUUCUGCUCCGACAGCAGACAGGAGGAGACAACUGACAAAGGUUUUUUUUUUUGUUUUUUGUUUUUGAGCAGAACACUCAUGGCGUGGUCUUUUAAGACUUGCCUUUCCUUACAAAUGUCUUAGGAAGGGAUCAGGGCAAACCAACUCAGCUAAUUGCCUUCAGUAAAAUAACACGAUUAGGAAAUUAGAUCUGUACCAGAGGGGUAAUUAACUUCGAUCCUCGCCAUCAUUUGAAAACUAGAUUUAUAGACGUAUGUAUGGAUUUUAGGUGCGCUCUGAAUGGCAUGCAGAUGUAUGCAUAAGUAUAGGCAGGCUCAUGCACCAUCUACUCUUGCACUAUGCAGACUAAUUAACGGCCAACUCUAGCAGAUGUGGCAGGAGGAGAGCUGAGCUGGGUGCAUUGAGUUACGACCCUGGGGGUAGGAACUCCAAGCCCGGAACUCCAGGGGAGGGUGAAAGGCAGAGAGGAAAGUGUGAUAGUUGCAAUGAGUCAGUUGCUUCUGGAUCAAGAUCAGAGACUCUGCCCUCCGUGUUCACAGCGGACCUUGAUUUAAUGUCAUACAAUUAAGGCACGCGGUGAAUGCCAAGAGCGGAGCCUACGACUGCACUUGAAGGACAUCAGAGAGACUCAGGGUCAGGAAGGUUGGGAAGAAACAAUUCCAGGCCUCAUGAAGGAAGCUAGAAUGAACCCAUCUGUGAGGCAUAAGGACCCCUUGCAUUGAUUCAGAAUCUUUAGAAUGCGAGAGAGUCAUAUGUUUUUCAGCGAGAAUCCGGGAACCCCGCAUGCAUAUCCCCAAGGGGGAAUAUUACAGGUUUCAUUGACAGCUGUCAGACAGCGGUAGCUCCCAUGGUGCAAACGGUCUAGAACCCUGAAAAGCUUUGGCCUUAUCAAGACAGAUUGAGAGCUUGUCCUCAAUCCUGGGCGGGACUGGGAAAACAAAAUGGAUGAGGAGGUAUAGCAUUAAAUAGCCUCCAGACCACAUUGUGCAAAAACCUCAAGUGACUCAAUCGUGUGUGGAAAUAGGAAAAUCCCACACCCAUAGCCCUUGACUUCUCCUAUUCCCUACCCAAUCUCAUGGCGGCCUUUUCGGGUUUUGAAAGACUAAGGGAAAGUCGUAGCAAUACCCAAAUCAGUCAAAGUUGUUAAAUAAGGGGAAAGACCAAGCCAGAAACUCGGGGACUUGGUAAAUUAAUUUAUUUGGAAGACCAUGGAGGUAGACUUAGUUUAGACAGAUCCACUCCACAACCUUGGAGCCUAAGAAAACCAAGGCUGAGGAGAAAGCCUUGAUGGAAGUCUUUGUUCUAUAGUGGUCUGCCUGGCCUGGGAACAAAGGCUAGGCUGGGAAACGAUGCACCAAAGUGGCCGCGCCCUCCGUUCCUUGCGCUGUCCGUGGUGCUGACCGGACCCCCUUCCUCUUCCUCCUCUAUCCAUAAUUCUCCAAGUAAGGCAAUAGAAUUUCUUCUUCCCUCCCUUAAAAAAUCCAGGAUAUUAGGUAAUUUACAAAUAAAAUUUUGAGAUACGUAAAGAUUGUAGACAUCUAAACGGUGUUUUACUGAAAUUGUCCACCCUGUUAUGAUGAUCAGUUGUUUUGGACUGAAACCAGAAUCCGACUAAGGGACAAAACCUCCAAGACAGAGAUGAAACAGAGGGAAAUUUUGUUUUGUUUUGCUUUUCCUAAAUCACAACCCUGAAAACAGAGACACAAGUCCUCAGUUAGGGAUCAUAGCGCAGAUGAGGUUACCAAGGGUACCUCUCAAAUGUCCCCAGAGUAUGCCUCAAGACGUAUUAAAGAGGAUAAAACUGGACCGAUUUGGUGAUCAAGGCAGGCAGGAGGAAAGCAGCCUACAACCACUGUAUAGGUAGGUUCUCAUCGGGGCUCUGGACAGGGCAGUCAAGUUCUGAGGCCCAGACCCACAUAGCAAUGGGGCCCCGAUGCGGAGCUGACAGACAACAUCACCUCUCAAGGAGGUACUGCAGGCCCAGAAGGCCAGACUCCUGCACUGCGGGGAGGGGGAAGGGAGCCAUACUGCAGAACUCUCCUCCUUGUAGCUACCCAGCACCAGAGGUUCAGAGGCAGGGCAGAUUACCAAAUUCCAUAUAAUGAAGAUUUGCCUCAGGAUUUGUGGGUCAGAUGUGUCUGAAGUAAUGCAUUCAAUAUGUAUUUAAAACAUUAAGCAUAUUUCAGCAUUCUAAUUUAAACAUCGAGAAUAUUGUAUAUAAACAAUAAACAAUAAGUUCUGUAGUCAUAUUUGCAAUGGAAAGAGAACUAGGCAAUAAAUGAUAUGUAUCCAGCCUAGGUCCAGGGAAAAAAAAUCAUAAAGGUUGCCAAGCAUCAUCCAUAGAGAAACUGAACCAGGUUGUGCAAACGAGACAGCGGCAGCGAUUUUUUGGCAGGUAUAGAAUGGGCUAUGUAUGGGCAAUGGCCUAAAAGAUGCGUUUUUAUCACUUUUUUCUCUUAAAAACUGAAUGACAGAAACGUAUCCACUCUGUCUGGAAAUAAAAGAGGUCAGAAACAAUAUCCUUGGUGGUCUAAUUCCUCGCUCCAUCCUGAAAGAUGGAUUUUAUUUGUUUUCUGAUUUAAAAUCCUAUAGAUUAGCACUUUUGAAUUUGCAAACUUUAGGUUUGUGUUUGAUUUCAUAUAAGAUGGGGGUACAGAGUUUGAAAGCUGUGUUGGGAGAGAGCUUUCUCAAACACAAAGAAGAUGGCUUUAGGAUGUUCCUCUUUUGUCAAUGAAAAACAGUCACCAGAAAUGGAAAUGGGUUUGAAGCAUUGCAGGCUGUCGUACAGGCUCCUAUUUCCUUCCAGUAUUCAUCCAGUUGUAUUGAUGGCCUCUAUCCACAGUCCGUUGAGCACUUCACAAAGCAAAAAGGGUCUAAUGCUUCAAAACAGUCCUGUUUGUGUUGUUGUAAUUCAUAUUACAUAAUAAAAGCACACUAGUACUCCCUAAUCUAAUCCUAUUUGUUUACAAUCAUCCUAAACUCUAGUUUCAUAAAGCUUAAUCGGUUAAAACAAUAUAUUUUGUAAAUAGAAACGAAAUGUGUGUUAUGAGAGAAUUACAAAAGUAAGGGAACAAACAUGUGAUUAAGUCAUCUGGUCCAGUGUGGUUAUUGAUUCAUAGUGUUUCUAUUCUUUUAAAACUAUUUAUUUUCAAUUUAUUUUAAAAAUAAUCGUCUAGAUUAAUGCCCAUUACAAAAUUUUCUUGCUGUGAAAUUCUGUGCUCAGCAGUUUUCCAGAAAAACAACCCAGGUGGACAAUUAGUGAGUUUGGUGCAAAGGACCAUGGGAGUCCUUCGGCAAUCACAACUUUUAUCUAGGGGUCUGAAAUGAGAGCUUCUCGGAAUAAUUUAGGAACAGCUUGACCCAUUGAGAUGCUCCGGGACAACCCUCUUGGGAAAUAGAGUCUUUCUUUCCAGGGAACAAGAUGCUAGUGCAGGGAACAGGGAGGUAUCUGGUGUCAACAAUGCCAGAGCGCCCUCUGCUGGGCUCCAAGAAACAACACACUGGUUACAGAAGCCAGAUGGUACGAGUUUCAAUAAGCCCUGGAAACAUUAAGCUCUUAGGAUCAUUUAAUCUGUGGAAUUUAAAGGCUCCCAUCACACUCUCCCCUUGAAAGGCCACCCUGUUUUUGUUCUGGGAGCCCCUGGGAUGGUUAUUUUUUAUGAUACAGGUAGCGAGAAGUCAUGUUUGACUUUGACCGCUGGUGGAUGCUUUCUAUAUUCUUUCUCUUUGCAGUUUUAUAGGAAAAUAUGAAAUUGUAAAUAUCAAGGAAAAUAAUCUUUCUCCUGCUAGGCAUCUGAAUAUAAAACAAGUUUCAUCUUCUGCCCAUAAGUGAAAUUUAAUAAAAGUAAAUAUUUUAUUUAGAAUAAAGAUACCAGGAACAGGGUGUUUACUUAAUUUAAAGGAUGUUAAAACCCAAAUAAGGCCUCAGAUAAAGAGCUGUUGUGUUUGUUUGUAUUAAUAUUAACUGCAGUUUUCAAAGACUACACUUUGGAAUAAGAAAGCAAGUUAUGUUUUGGAAGAAGCUGACAUGUUUGAGUCAUAUUAAUUAAUAUAUCCAGAAGUUCACCUUUGAAAUUUUCCUAUUGAGUCAAUAUCUGUACUCAGGUGGCAAAGAUCCCAGAAAGCGGACUACUGUGAGUAGCAUCACGAGGAAGGCAGAAAUGGCAGCAGUGUGUGCAAACUUCUGAAUGUUGUCUGUAAUUUUCUGUAUGGAACAAUGUUAUAAAUGAAAUGGACGCUUCUUGAAAAGUUAAGACCCAUUUUUGAUUUCACAUAUAAUUGGGCUUAUAUUGAGUAAAAUAACGUAUAGCUGUAUUAUCUCAUAACUAUGAGUUAGAAAUUCCAGCCUCUUGUACAAUAGACACAUCUUUGCUGUGAAAACUGUUAAUAACUACAUCUGUGCUGGUAUAAUAAAAUGUUUCUAAUUAUGUGGUUGUUAAAUACAUCUUCUAAAAUAAAGUUCAGUUUAUUUUAUGA
Molecule: long non-coding RNA, 5425 nt
Organism: Mesocricetus auratus (golden hamster)
Lineage: Eukaryota; Metazoa; Chordata; Mammalia; Rodentia; Cricetidae
Exons: 2
Source: RefSeq, a predicted model, not a curated record